UACGUAGGGUGCUAGCGUUGUUCGGAAUCAUUGGGCGUAAAGCGCGUGUAGGCAGUUAGGUAAGUCGGGUGUGAAAUCCCUGGGCUCAACCGAGGAAGUGCAUCCGAAACUCCCUAGCUAGAAGACGGUAGAGGAAGGUGGAAUUCCUAGUGUAGAGGUGAAAUUCGUAGAUAUUAGGAGGAAUACCGGUGGCGAAGGCGGCCUUCUGGACCGUUCUUGACGCUGAGACGCGAAAGCGUGGGGAGCAAACAGG
This 253-nucleotide ribosomal RNA is filed under the name uncultured bacterium. RNAcentral describes it as "partial 16S ribosomal RNA". It matches the Rfam family "Bacterial small subunit ribosomal RNA", at positions 524 to 776 of the family's 1533-position model. The record is from RNAcentral.